Molecule: unclassified non-coding RNA, 433 nt
Filed under: soil metagenome
Description: partial contains 5.8S ribosomal RNA, internal transcribed spacer 2, and large subunit ribosomal RNA
Rfam family: 5.8S ribosomal RNA (bases 1-120)
Source: RNAcentral
GAUGAAGAACGCAGCGAAAUGCGAUACGUAAUGUGAAUUGCAGAAUUCAGUGAAUCAUCGAAUCUUUGAACGCAUAUUGCGCUCUCUGGUAUUCCGGAGAGCAUGCUUGUUUGAGUAUCAGUAAACACCUCAACUUCCAUAUCUUUUUUGAAAUGGGAGUUGGACUUGAGUGAUCCCAACGCUUUUCCUCACCGAAAAGUGGCGGGUUACUUGAAAUGCAGGUGCAGCUGGACUUUUCUCUGAGCUAUAAGCAUAUCUAUUUAGUCUGCCUAAAAAACAGGUUAUUACCUUUGCUGCAGCUAACAUAAAGGAGAUUAGUUCUUGUGCUGACUGAUGCAGGAUUCACAAAGACAGGCUUCGGCCGACUUUGUAAACUCGAUCUCAAAUCAAGUAAGACUACCCGCUGAACUUAAGCAUAUCAAUAAGCGGAGGA